UGUUAAUGGCUUUCAAGACAACAGGGAG
Molecule: non-coding RNA, 28 nt
Filed under: Rattus norvegicus (Norway rat)
Lineage: Eukaryota; Metazoa; Chordata; Mammalia; Rodentia; Muridae
Source: RNAcentral